UGGGGAAUCUUGCACAAUGGGGGCAACCCUGAUGCAGCGACGCCGCGUGAGCGAUGAAGGUUUUCGAAUCGUAAAGCUCUGUCCUAUGGGAAGAUAAUGACGGUACCAUAGGAGGAAGCCCCGGCUAACUACGUGCCAGCAGCCGCGGUAAUACGUAGGGGGCGAGCGUUGUCCGGAAUUACUGGGCGUAAAGGGUUCGCAGGCGGCAUGGCAAGUCCGAUGUAAAAGGCGAAGGCUCAACCUUCGUAAGCAUCGGAAACUGUCAAGCUUGAGUGAAGGAGAGGCAAGUGGAAUUCCUAGUGUAGCGGUGGAAUGCGUAGAUAUUAGGAGGAAGACCGGUGGCGAAGGCGACUUGCUGGACUUCAACUGACGCUGAGGAACGAAAGCGUGGGUAGCAAACAGG
Molecule: ribosomal RNA, 403 nt
Filed under: Verrucomicrobiota bacterium
Lineage: Bacteria; Pseudomonadati; Verrucomicrobiota
Description: Verrucomicrobia bacterium partial 16S ribosomal RNA
Rfam family: Bacterial small subunit ribosomal RNA
Source: RNAcentral